This 279-nucleotide unclassified non-coding RNA is filed under the name Aechmea leucolepis. RNAcentral describes it as "partial 26S-18S rRNA external transcribed spacer". Lineage: Eukaryota; Viridiplantae; Streptophyta; Magnoliopsida; Poales; Bromeliaceae. The record is from RNAcentral.
CAUCCUUUUUAGUCAUGUGCAUUGCGUGUGACAUCUACCCAGCUCUGCAGGAAGUCAACGUACCCCAUGUGCCAGUUCGCCUCACCACCUCGAGCGGGAGGCACAACCACAAUGCGGUCGUCGCACGCACCUUAACGACACAACCCUUGGGCCACGUGCUAGCUGGGCUCCARAAGUGUCACAAGCUCUCGCAAAUGCAGCAGGCUUCAGGGACUUCAGCCCUCGGCCUAGACCUUGGUAGGUCAUUAAGCCACCCUCGUCGAGACAACGGUCGAUCCA